RNAcentral lists this ribosomal RNA (650 nucleotides) under Escherichia coli. RNAcentral's name for it is "partial 23S ribosomal RNA". It matches the Rfam family "Bacterial large subunit ribosomal RNA", at positions 1 to 684 of the family's 2925-position model. The record is from RNAcentral. Lineage: Bacteria; Pseudomonadati; Pseudomonadota; Gammaproteobacteria; Enterobacterales; Enterobacteriaceae.
GGGUUGUGAGGUUAAGCGACUAAGCGUACACGGUGGAUGCCCUGGCAGUCAGAGGCGAUGAAGGACGUGCUAAUCUGCGAUAAGCGUCGGUAAGGUGAUAUGAACCGUUAUAACCGGCGAUUUCCGAAUGGGGAAACCCAGUGUGUUUCGACACACUAUCAUUAACUGAAUCCAUAGGUUAAUGAGGCGAACCGGGGGAACUGAAACAUCUAAGUACCCCGAGGAAAAGAAAUCAACCGAGAUUCCCCCAGUAGCGGCGAGCGAACGGGGAGCAGCCCAGAGCCUGAAUCAGUGUGUGUGUUAGUGGAAGCGUCUGGAAAGGCGCGCGAUACAGGGUGACAGCCCCGUACACAAAAAUGCACAUGCUGUGAGCUCGAUGAGUAGGGCGGGACACGUGGUAUCCUGUCUGAAUAUGGGGGGACCAUCCUCCAAGGCUAAAUACUCCUGACUGACCGAUAGUGAACCAGUACCGUGAGGGAAAGGCGAAAAGAACCCCGGCGAGGGGAGUGAAAAAGAACCUGAAACCGUGUACGUACAAGCAGUGGGAGCACGCUUAGGCGUGUGACUGCGUACCUUUUGUAUAAUGGGUCAGCGACUUAUAUUCUGUAGCAAGGUUAACCGAAUAGGGGAGCCGAAGGGAAACCGAGUCU